Molecule: ribosomal RNA, 485 nt
Filed under: uncultured bacterium
Lineage: Bacteria
Description: partial 16S ribosomal RNA
Rfam family: Bacterial small subunit ribosomal RNA
Source: RNAcentral
GAUGAACGCUAGCUACAGGCUUAACACAUGCAAGUCGAGGGGCAGCAUGACCUAGCAAUAGGUUGAUGGCGACCGGCGCACGGGUGAGUAACACGUAUCCAACCUGCCGAUUAUUCCGGGAUAGCCUUUCGAAAGAAAGAUUAAUACUGGAUAGCAUAGCGAGAAGGCAUCUUCUUGUUAUUAAAGAAUUUCGAUAAUCGAUGGGGAUGCGUUCCAUUAGUUUGUUGGCGGGGUAACGGCCCACCAAGACAUCGAUGGAUAGGGGUUCUGAGAGGAAGGUCCCCCACAUUGGAACUGAGACACGGUCCAAACUCCUACGGGAGGCAGCAGUGAGGAAUAUUGGUCAAUGGACGAGAGUCUGAACCAGCCAAGUAGCGUGAAGGAUGACUGCCCUAUGGGUUGUAAACUUCUUUUAUAUGGGAAUAAAGUGGGCCACGUGUGGCUUUUUGUAUGUACCAUACGAAUAAGGAUCGGCUAACUCCGUG